GGAGGUAGUGACAAUAAAUAACAAUGUGGAACUUUCGAGUUUUACAAUUGGAAUGAGAACAAUGUAAAUACCUUAUCGAGAAACAAUUGGAGGGCAAGUCUGGUGCCAGCAGCCGCGGUAAUUCCAGCUCCAAUAGCGUAUAUUAACGUUGUUGCAGUUAAAAAGCUCGUAGUUGAAUAGUUGAAAGAUUAUUUGUAAAAUUUUAUUAGAAAUAAAAGAAUUUUUUCUUUUUUUUCUAAUUUUUACAUAAUUUUAAUCUUUCUUCUUGUACUUUUCUAUUUAAUUUAUCGUAUUCAUUUACGAUAGAUUAAGAAAGUACUCUUUUACUGUGAGAAAAUUAGAGUGUUCAAAGCAAUGUUUUAUAACAUUUUGAAUAGAUUAGCAUGGAAUAAUCUAUUAUAUAUUUGUAUAAAAUAUAUAACAAAUUAUAUAAUAUUUGAUUGGUUUAAUAUAUAGUUUGUUUUUAGUGAUAGAUUAAUAGGAUCAGUUGGGGGUAUUCAUAUUUCAUAGUUAGAGGUGAAAUUCUCGGAUUUAUGGAAGAUGAACAAGUGCGAAAGCA
Molecule: ribosomal RNA, 559 nt
Filed under: Blastocystis sp.
Lineage: Eukaryota; Bigyra; Opalinata; Blastocystidae
Description: SSU rRNA
Rfam family: Eukaryotic small subunit ribosomal RNA
Source: RNAcentral